CGGGUGAGUAACACGUGGGCAAUCUGCCCUGCACUCUGGGACAAGCCCUGGAAACGGGGUCUAAUACCGGAUGACACUUUCUCUCGCAUGGGAGAAGGUUGAAAGCUCCGGCGGUGCAGGAUGAGCCCGCGGCCUAUCAGCUAGUUGGUGAGGUAGAAGCUCACCAAGGCGACGACGGGUAGCCGGCCUGAGAGGGCGACCGGCCACACUGGGACUGAGACACGGCCCAGACUCCUACGGGAGGCAGCAGUGGGGAAUAUUGCACAAUGGGCGAAAGCCUGAUGCAGCGACGCCGCGUGAGGGAUGACGGCCUUCGGGUUGUAAACCUCUUUCAGCAGGGAAGAAGCGCAAGUGACGGUACCUGCAGAAGAAGCGCCGGCUAACUACGUGCCAGCAGCCGCGGUAAUACGUAGGGCGCAAGCGUUGUCCGGAAUUAUUGGGCGUAAAGAGCUCGUAGGCGGCUUGUCACGUCGGUUGUGAAAGCCCGGGGCUUAACCCCGGGUCUGCAGUCGAUACGGGCAGGCUAGAGUGUGGUAGGGGAGAUCGGAAUUCCUGGUGUAGCGGUGAAAUGCGCAGAUAUCAGGAGGAACACCGGUGGCG
RNAcentral lists this ribosomal RNA (600 nucleotides) under Streptomyces sp. SCAU9008. RNAcentral describes it as "bacterial SSU rRNA". It matches the Rfam family "Bacterial small subunit ribosomal RNA", at positions 103 to 717 of the family's 1533-position model. Lineage: Bacteria; Bacillati; Actinomycetota; Actinomycetes; Kitasatosporales; Streptomycetaceae. The record is from RNAcentral.